CAGUCGCCGCGGUAAUACGUAGGGUGCAAGCGUUAAUCGGGAUUACUGGGCGUAAAGCGUGCGCAGGCGGCUAUGCAAGACAGAUGUGAAAUCCCCGGGCUCAACCUGGGAACUGCAUUUGUGACUGGCGAGCUAGAGUAUGGCAGAGGGGGGUAGAAUUCCACGUGUAGCAGUGAAAUGCGUAGAGAUGUGGAGGAAUACCGAUGGCGAAGGCAGCCCCCUGGGCCAAUACUGACGCUCAUGCACGAAAGCGUGGGGAGCAAACAGGAUUAGAGACCCCAGUAGUCCCUGUCUCUUAUAC
Molecule: ribosomal RNA, 301 nt
Filed under: uncultured bacterium
Lineage: Bacteria
Description: partial 16S ribosomal RNA
Rfam family: Bacterial small subunit ribosomal RNA
Source: RNAcentral